GUCGGCAGCCAUAUCACUCUGCUGCUCUCAGCUGGCAGCCUCACUGAAGCUCAGCAGGUGUGAGCCUGGCCAGUACCUGGAUGAGAGACUCCUGGGAAAAACUUAGGUUGCUGCUGGCA
Molecule: ribosomal RNA, 119 nt
Filed under: Lepisosteus oculatus (spotted gar)
Lineage: Eukaryota; Metazoa; Chordata; Actinopteri; Semionotiformes; Lepisosteidae
Source: RNAcentral